Molecule: non-coding RNA, 30 nt
Filed under: Rattus norvegicus (Norway rat)
Lineage: Eukaryota; Metazoa; Chordata; Mammalia; Rodentia; Muridae
Source: RNAcentral
UAAAACUCUUGAUCCUCCUGCCUUCACCUA